This 73-nucleotide transfer RNA is filed under the name Klebsiella pneumoniae. RNAcentral describes it as "tRNA-Lys(ttt)". The stretch from base 10 to 66 matches the Rfam family "tRNA", at positions 9 to 63 of the family's 71-position model. From Rfam's summary of the family: Transfer RNA (tRNA) molecules are approximately 80 nucleotides in length. Lineage: Bacteria; Pseudomonadati; Pseudomonadota; Gammaproteobacteria; Enterobacterales; Enterobacteriaceae. The record is from RNAcentral.
GGUAGUACCAGCUCAGUUGGUAGAGCAGUUGACUUUUAAUCAAUUGGUCGCAGGUUCGAAUCCUGCACGACCC